Molossus molossus (Pallas's mastiff bat) is the source of this 369-nucleotide long non-coding RNA. RefSeq lists it as uncharacterized. The transcript has 3 exons. NCBI's taxonomy places the organism in Eukaryota, Metazoa, Chordata, Mammalia, Chiroptera, Molossidae. The record is from RefSeq and is a predicted model, not a curated record.
CUAAAUUACGUGCCCUCCGACACAGGAGAAAGGCAGGACCCGACACUGCACUGUCACCCGGACUCACUCGCACCAGUUGUCUCCUCUGAAAAAUGCUGGCUCACUCCACACUACAAAGGGAUACAUGCAAAAAUGUCCUCGGGUGAGGAUAAAAAAAAAAACAAAAAACAAGGAGACAAAUGUCAUCUUCAGUAUAGGAACUGCCUACCACCUGUUUCUCUCAAGAACAUUUUCUUUUGUCAACCAGCAUGAGAGAAUGUCAUAACAAUGCACAAUGUCUAAAACAUAUCAAUCAGGAAGAAAAUAGCAGAAAAUAAAUCUGAAGAUCCGGAGAAGGAAUGAAGGUUUCCUUUGAGGUGUGGGAAGGUA